This 464-nucleotide ribosomal RNA is filed under the name uncultured bacterium. RNAcentral's name for it is "partial 16S ribosomal RNA". It matches the Rfam family "Bacterial small subunit ribosomal RNA", at positions 28 to 506 of the family's 1533-position model. The record is from RNAcentral.
GACGAACGCUGGCGGCGUGCUUAACACAUGCAAGUCGAACGGAAAGGCCCCUUUGGGGGUACUCGAGUGGCGAACGGGUGAGUAACACGUGAGUAACCUGCCCUUGACUUCGGGAUAACUUCAGGAAACUGGGGCUAAUACCGGAUAGGAAUCCUUGCUGCAUGGUGGGGGUUGGAAGGCUUCGGCGGUUUUGGAUGGACUCGCGGCUUAUCAGCUUGUUGGUGGGGUAGUGGCUUACCAAGGCUUUGACGGGUAGCCGGCCUGAGAGGGCGACCGGCCACAUUGGGACUGAGAUACGGCCCAGACUCCUACGGGAGGCAGCAGUGGGGAAUAUUGCACAAUGGGCGGAAGCCUGAUGCAGCAACGCCGCGUGCGGGAUGACGGCCUUCGGGUUGUAAACCGCUUUCAGCAGGGGCGAAGCUUGUGGUGACGGUACCUGCAGAAGAAGCACCGGCUAACUACGU